UGGGAACCUGCACGACCGCAAAUCCGACUCGCCGGCCGAUUGGUCGGCUUGGGAUUGCGGUAGUGC
Molecule: non-coding RNA, 66 nt
Filed under: unclassified sequences
Description: S15-Halobacteria ribosomal protein leader
Rfam family: S15-Halobacteria ribosomal protein leader
Source: RNAcentral